GUCCAGACUCCUACGGGAGGCAGCAGUGGGGAAUAUUGGGCAAUGGGCGCAAGCCUGACCCAGCAACGCCGCGUGAAGGAAGAAGGCUUUCGGGUUGUAAACUUCUUUUAAGAGGGAAGAGAAGAAGACGGUACCUCUUGAAUAAGCCACGGCUAACUACGUGCCAGCAGCCGCGGUAAUACGUAGGGGGCAAGCGUUAUCCGGAUUUACUGGGUGUAAAGGGAGCGUAGACGGCAGUGCAAGUCUGAAGUGAAAGGCGGGGGCCCAACCCCCGGACUGCUUUGGAAACUGUGCUGCUGGAGUGCAGGAGAGGCAAGUGGAAUUCCUAGUGUAGCGGUGAAAUGCGUAGAUAUUAGGAGGAACACCAGUGGCGAAGGCGACUUUCUGGACUGUACCUGACGCUGAGGCGCGAAAGCGUGGGUAGCGAACGGGAUUAGAUACCCGGGUAUG
RNAcentral lists this ribosomal RNA (450 nucleotides) under uncultured bacterium. Its description in RNAcentral is "bacterial SSU rRNA". It matches the Rfam family "Bacterial small subunit ribosomal RNA", at positions 329 to 793 of the family's 1533-position model. The record is from RNAcentral.